This 546-nucleotide ribosomal RNA is filed under the name Bifidobacterium longum. RNAcentral's name for it is "bacterial SSU rRNA". It matches the Rfam family "Bacterial small subunit ribosomal RNA", at positions 154 to 712 of the family's 1533-position model. The record is from RNAcentral. Lineage: Bacteria; Bacillati; Actinomycetota; Actinomycetes; Bifidobacteriales; Bifidobacteriaceae.
AAACGGGUGGUAAUGCCGGAUGUUCCAGUUGAUCGCAUGGUCUUCUGGGAAAGCUUUCGCGGUAUGGGAUGGGGUCGCGUCCUAUCAGCUUGACGGCGGGGUAACGGCCCACCGUGGCUUCGACGGGUAGCCGGCCUGAGAGGGCGACCGGCCACAUUGGGACUGAGAUACGGCCCAGACUCCUACGGGAGGCAGCAGUGGGGAAUAUUGCACAAUGGGCGCAAGCCUGAUGCAGCGACGCCGCGUGAGGGAUGGAGGCCUUCGGGUUGUAAACCUCUUUUAUCGGGGAGCAAGCGAGAGUGAGUUUACCCGUUGAAUAAGCACCGGCUAACUACGUGCCAGCAGCCGCGGUAAUACGUAGGGUGCAAGCGUUAUCCGGAAUUAUUGGGCGUAAAGGGCUCGUAGGCGGUUCGUCGCGUCCGGUGUGAAAGUCCAUCGCUUAACGGUGGAUCCGCGCCGGGUACGGGCGGGCUUGAGUGCGGUAGGGGAGACUGGAAUUCCCGGUGUAACGGUGGAAUGUGUAGAUAUCGGAAAAAAAAACACCAA